Molecule: non-coding RNA, 3199 nt
Organism: Anas platyrhynchos (mallard)
Lineage: Eukaryota; Metazoa; Chordata; Aves; Anseriformes; Anatidae
Source: RefSeq, a predicted model, not a curated record
AAUCCCAACCCUUGGCUUCGCAGGAAGGAUGACCCCAAACCUCCGACCAGACCCACUGCAGAGAGCCAGCAGGAAGCUGGAUGUGGGCUGUUGGCCGAGUGAACUGCUUCUGCAUGAUGAGAGGUGUUUCUUCAAUGAGGCCAGGAGUCCGUGUAGCAGAAAACUUGUCCCCGGAGAGGAGGAAAGGCAGUUUAAUGGAGAAGGGAGUCAAACUUGAGUCAAACUUUAUUGCCAAUGUGGUUGCUUGCUUAGGUAGUGGUGUUGCCAUUACUGGCAAAAUCAGUUAUGUACUAAAAUCAAAACCCUUGAUUUGAGCUAAAUAGGAAUUGUGAAGUUAAAAUUUGAAAAAAAAAAAAAAAAAAAAAAAAAAAGUAAAUACAAUUUAUAGUUUAAAUGGGAAUUUUCUAAUCCAAAGCUGGUGAAAAGCCAUUGCAGAACAUAAAUUUCAGUAAAAGAAAGGAUUAAUGUUACAGUAAUGUUGUUACACACACAAAAUGUAAAUAAAUGAAUGUGUGUUUAUAGCGAUAUAAAUAAGAAAGUCCCUGGGAAAGGGCAAUGUCUGAACAAAGCGAAGCACAUCAGAGGAGGCGAUGGUACGUUGUGGGUCAGCACAGUGCACAUCUUCCAUCACCUCCUGUCUGUCACAGGCUUUUUGAUUUCUGGAUGAGUCAGAAGUUGAACUAUGCAGCAUAAAAACCAAACUGUGAUGAAAUAGAUGGUGACCUGGCAUGUCAGAUAUCCAUACUAUUUUAUUUUUUUUUUGUACUGGAACAAGUGCAUCUCUAGAAUUGUCACACAAAUGGAGAAAGUUGUUGUUUCACAGGUGGGGAAGUUUUUAAGACCAUGUUUCAGACUUCAGUCUCUGUCAGUUUGCUUUUUGAAAUACUCACUGUAAGCGGAUGAUCUCAAAGAACCCAGCUCCUCCGAACAAUGGCUGUUCCCCUAUCAGGACUGCAGUUAACCUGCUUAAAUGAAAGUGUAGAUGUGCAACAGGUGCAGGGACUUUCACACCUUUAAUAAGUUAAAUAAUUUCUUGGCAAACUGCUGGCAGGCCAAGCUUUGAUUUGGGGAGUGAUUUUUAUUCACUCUUUGUUUUUCAUCCUCCUUCCCAGGUAAACAAAGAAGCAGCGAACCCCAGAGUAAAGACUGGAGGAAGCAGAAAUACAGCACUCACUUGGACUCGGCCUAAAGUUAAGCUUCAAAAGGCCUAGAGAAAAGUAUAGAUUAAAAAGGAAUCUCACUAGAUUUUUGUAUUCAAAGGAGAUAGUGCUCCCCUUCUGGUACCUGAGAUCUAGUUUGCAAUGCUGAAUGAGAGACUGAACGUAUUGAGGUGGAAUCAUCUGCAAUGUGUGCAGGGGCACUUUUAAUCCUGGCCUCUAACCUGAGGGAAGGCAGGCUUCCUUUGAUGAAGCUUCUUCAUUCAAAGCUGCUGACUGUGCCCAUGAGUGCUCGGUGGAGAUUUCCCCUCAGCAGUGGGUCCUGGACCAUUUUCUUGUGCCUGGCUGGGGCAGGGUUUGGGGUUUGGUGUUUCUGCAGUGCUAAGCACAGCCUGGCCCUGGGGUUCCCUGGAGCAACCAUAAUGCAAACAAUAACAAGUUGAAGCCACCACGUAACCUUUCUACUGGUGCAAGAGUGUAGAAAGUGAAGAUCCGACUUGGAUUUCUGUUCUCAAAUUCACUGGAUUAAUAACAAAGGGAAGGGGCUGUUCUCUUCAUUCUGGAGAAGGCGAUCUCUGAAAAUCUCUCACUGAUGAGAGAUCAGAGCAAAAAAGAUUGCUUUAGGUUGGACUGCUCCAGCUUCAUGGAGGAUCUUGGAUUCUGAAAUGGAUUCUGCUCUUGUGUACUACUCCAGAAAAUGUUUCUUCUAGAGAUAUGAAUAUGCUAUUGAUGCGCUUCAAAUCUAGUAGAAUUUAGUGGAGUUUAAGAAUUAAUUACACUUGCAGCAAGAAACUUUGUUUUCCAUAGAAGAUAGCUUCAGAGCACACUAAUCACAAAUGUGGCAAUCCUUACAGAAAUGAGUGAUUUUCAUUACAGCAUCAUAAAAUAAUUAUGUUUUGGAAACACAAAUUCAGAGCAGUUGCAAACAAAGAUGCCGCAACAAUGUGAAUGGAAGCCAACAAGAAAGCUUUAAUUUUUACUGUUAAUGCUUAACAAUGAUUUUAAUUAUGUAUUUAUUUGGGGGGACUGUUCAGCCAGGCUCCUUCCAGCGGAGCCCGGAGGCAGCGGGCACUGAUGGAGCACAGGCGAUCCCCCCAGCCCCAGCAGCACGUCUGAGCCCUGCAGUGCCACAGCCCUGGCCCAGAGCUUGGGGGGCUCCUUGGGGAUGUCCCAAAGCCGCCUGGAUGUGGGGCUGGGCACCCUGCUUGUGGAUCCUGCUGGGGCAGGGGGGGAACGCUAAGGUCCUUGGCCACCUCGGCCAGCCUGGGGCUCUGCGCUAUGCUGGCAGCAGGCUUCCAAAGCGCCCCAUUCCUCUGGCAAAUGGAGGUGGCAAUCUGCCUGUGGGACCUCCAUGGAAGUGGGGAGAAAUUUAAUGAAUUGGACAGCAAUCUGGUGGAAAUAGUGCUGGGCUGGUUGGCCCUGCCCUUGGGCAAGGUCCCUCCUGGCUGUGUCUCCACAAGGUGCCAUGCGCAGCGCUGCUCCCCACUCCCCCACGCGUGCUGGGGGGGCUGCAGGAGCACAUCUGCAGCCAACAAAUCUUUCCCGGGUUUGUAGUCCAAUUUGCCAAUGACAUAAAGAUUCACUCUGCAGCAAGAAAUAUGUUUAUGAAGUUUGAAAGGAUUAGCUAGGCAUCUUUUUGCAAUUCAAUAAGUAUUUUAUGAUCAAUUUUAGCUAACACCAGCAUUUCUGUAAGCAAUUGGUCUCUGCUUUUGACAAUGCUUUUGCUGGGUUUCGCUGCUAUGAGAGAAAGCUGAAGGGUCUUAGUACCUGAUGGGGAUUAGAUCGCUGAGAAUUGCAAUCAGUUUCUGAAAACUACAACUUCUGAUGAAAUUCCCAAAGCAUAAGCAGCGAUGUAUUUAGCCAGUGUAAAUCAGGGAAGUUCCACUAGAUUUAGUAAAGCUAGCUUACAUCACUUGAAGGUGUCAGCUUUUUCAGAUGCUUUUGAGAAAAUGGCAAAAGGGUUUUUGUGUGCAUGUGUGUUUCUGAGCCUUUGGGAUUAUCAACAAAAUAGGCCAACCAGGAAUAAUAAUAAAAAAAUAAAA